Molecule: transfer RNA, 71 nt
Filed under: Trichechus manatus latirostris (Florida manatee)
Lineage: Eukaryota; Metazoa; Chordata; Mammalia; Sirenia; Trichechidae
Description: tRNA-Gly (TCC) (tRNA-Gly-TCC-32-1)
Rfam family: tRNA
About the family: Transfer RNA (tRNA) molecules are approximately 80 nucleotides in length. Their secondary structure includes four short double-helical elements and three loops (D, anti-codon, and T loops).
Source: Rfam by way of RNAcentral
GCAUUGGUGGUUCAAUGGUAAAAUUCUUGCCUUCCAUGCAGGAGACCCAGGUUAGAUUCCUGGCCAAUGCA